This 468-nucleotide ribosomal RNA is filed under the name uncultured bacterium. Its description in RNAcentral is "partial 16S ribosomal RNA". It matches the Rfam family "Bacterial small subunit ribosomal RNA", at positions 28 to 507 of the family's 1533-position model. The record is from RNAcentral.
GACGAACGCUGGCGGCGUGCUUAACACAUGCAAGUCGAACGGAAAGGCCCUGCUUUUGUGGGGUGCUCGAGUGGCGAACGGGUGAGUAACACGUGAGUAACCUGCCCUUGACUUUGGGAUAACUUCAGGAAACUGGGGCUAAUACCGGAUAGGAGCUCCUGCUGCAUGGUGGGGGUUGGAAAGUUUCGGCGGUUGGGGAUGGACUCGCGGCUUAUCAGCUUGUUGGUGGGGUAGUGGCUUACCAAGGCUUUGACGGGUAGCCGGCCUGAGAGGGUGACCGGCCACUGUGGGACGGGAACCGGCCCCAGCCCCCUCCGGGAGGCAGCAGGGGGAAUUAUUCAACAAGGGGCGGAAGCUUGACGCAGCAACCCCGGGGGCGGGAGGCCGGCCUUCGGUUUUUAACCCGUUUUCGCCUGUGACGAAGGGGGAGUGAGGGAAAGGGGUAAAGAACCCCGGGCUAACUAGGUC